UUUGAAAUAAAUUUCAAAUUUUUUUCGUUCAAAUUUAGAUCAUUUAAUUUGGAGUCGAGCUCGAGUGAAACGAACAGCUAGAGCACACUAGCUCAUUUGCCAGCCCUAAAUCCAAUACCCUUCUCUCUGUCUAGUUCGAAUAUAAGCAAGAACUAGUUAUUACAGGAAUAGGUACAAAAUAUAGGGAUAAGAAAAAUAGCAUUUGGAUGAAAAUUGAAUUGUUUCCGCGGUUAAGAAAAAUAGUGUUUGAAUAGAUAAUAUGAAAUAAGAAAAAUAGUAGAUAGUUAUAUAUAAAAAAUGAAGAUGUUGGUGAGAAUAGUUAUAUCAGCAUAUCCGAAAAUUACUAUUUUCAGAUAAAAAAAUUUAUGUUUAGGAAUAAAGGGAGUGAUAAGGGACCUUUUAU
This 403-nucleotide long non-coding RNA is filed under the name Ananas comosus (pineapple). Its description in RNAcentral is "long non-coding RNA (ACOM_LNC004924)". Lineage: Eukaryota; Viridiplantae; Streptophyta; Magnoliopsida; Poales; Bromeliaceae. The record is from RNAcentral.